This 75-nucleotide transfer RNA is filed under the name Candidatus Poribacteria bacterium. RNAcentral's name for it is "tRNA-Thr". It matches the Rfam family "tRNA". From Rfam's summary of the family: Transfer RNA (tRNA) molecules are approximately 80 nucleotides in length. Their secondary structure includes four short double-helical elements and three loops (D, anti-codon, and T loops). Lineage: Bacteria; Candidatus Poribacteria. The record is from RNAcentral.
GCUGGCGUAGCUCAGAGGUAGAGCAGCUGAUUUGUAAUCAGCCGGUCGGAGGUUCAAUUCCUCUCGCCAGCCCCA